This 67-nucleotide non-coding RNA is filed under the name Methanobacteriota archaeon. Lineage: Archaea; Methanobacteriati; Methanobacteriota. The record is from RNAcentral.
AGUCGAAACACACCCACGGGGUGUGUCUAGGUGGGAUGGUCUCCACCUACUGACGAGACAGACCAAC